AACGAACGCUGGCGGCAGGCUUAACACAUGCAAGUCGAGCGCCCCGCAAGGGGUGCGGCAGACGGGUGAGUAACGCGUGGGAACGUACCUUUUGGUUCGGAACAACUCCGGGAAACUGGAGCUAAUACCGGAUAAGCCCUAACGGGGAAAGAUUUAUCGCCGAAAGAUCGGCCCGCGUCUGAUUAGCUAGUUGGUGAGGUAACGGCUGACCAAGGCGACGAUCAGUAGCUGGUCUGAGAGGAUGAUCAGCCACACUGGGACUGAGACACGGCCCAGACUCCUACGGGAGGCAGCAGCGGGGAAUAUUGGAAAAUGGGCGCAAGCCUGAUCCAGCCAUGCCGCGUGAGUGAUGAAGGCCUUAGGGUUGUAAAGCUCUUUUGUCCGGGAAGAUAAUGACUGUACCGGAAGAAUAAGCCCCGGCUAACUUCGUG
RNAcentral lists this ribosomal RNA (431 nucleotides) under uncultured bacterium. RNAcentral describes it as "partial 16S ribosomal RNA". It matches the Rfam family "Bacterial small subunit ribosomal RNA", at positions 29 to 507 of the family's 1533-position model. The record is from RNAcentral.